UUAGGAAUCACCUAGGAUCUUGUUAAAUUUCAGAUUCUGAUUCCGCAGAUCAGACUGAGAACAAAGCCUGUGUGUUUUUAACAAGUCCUCAGGUAAUGCUAAU
This 103-nucleotide microRNA precursor is filed under the name Marmota monax (woodchuck). The record is from RNAcentral. Lineage: Eukaryota; Metazoa; Chordata; Mammalia; Rodentia; Sciuridae.